GAUGAACGCUGGCGGCGUGCCUAAUACAUGCAAGUCGAGCGAGCAGACGAGGAGCUUGCUCCUCUGACGUUAUCGGCGGACGGGUGAUUAACACGUGGAUAACCUACCUAUAAGACUGGGAUAACUUCGGGAAAUCGGAUCUAAUACCGGAUAAUAUAUUGAACCGGAUGGUUCAAUAGUGAAAUACGGUUUUUCUUUCACUUAUAGAUGGAUCCGCCCCGCAUUAGUUAGUUGGUAAGGUGACGGCUUAACAAGGCAAGGAUGCGUAGCCGACCUCAGGGGGUGAACCGACACACGGGAACAGAGGAAGAGUACAGACUCCUGCGGGGGGAAGCAGUCGGGACUCUUACGCAAUGGAGGAGAGCCGGACGGAGCACAGCGGGGGGAGGGAUGAAGGUCUUAGGAUCGGAAAGCGCUGUAAGCAGUGAAGAAGAAAUGUGCAAGUAACCAUGAUGGUCUUGACGGUACCGAGACAAAAAGCCACGGCUAACUACGUG
Molecule: ribosomal RNA, 497 nt
Filed under: uncultured bacterium
Lineage: Bacteria
Description: partial 16S ribosomal RNA
Rfam family: Bacterial small subunit ribosomal RNA
Source: RNAcentral